GGAUGAUAUGAGGAAUAUCAUAUACAUUGAUUGCUGCUAUGAUGGCAAUUUAUCAUGUAUUAGCUCUAUCUGAUCAUUC
Molecule: small nucleolar RNA, 79 nt
Filed under: Olea europaea subsp. europaea
Lineage: Eukaryota; Viridiplantae; Streptophyta; Magnoliopsida; Lamiales; Oleaceae
Description: Small nucleolar RNA Z102/R77
Rfam family: Small nucleolar RNA Z102/R77
About the family: Z102 and R77 and are members of the C/D class of snoRNA which contain the C (UGAUGA) and D (CUGA) box motifs. Most of the members of the box C/D family function in directing site-specific 2'-O-methylation of substrate RNAs.
Source: Rfam by way of RNAcentral